AGUGGGUUUGGUUAGGACAGAGGUAAUACUGUGUUCCAUUUACCUCGGAACUCGAAAGUCAGAGCUGGGAAUGAUGUCACACCCGAGUUGAAUGCGUUUGAAUUUGGAUUUUAAUUGUUUUCAUUAGCUCUAGCCAGGUUAGCCAUUGUUAGCUAUACCAGUUGAUCUGAAGACGCAUUACGCUGUUUCACAAACAGUGUAGCAACAGGUUGACAGAUAGAAUAUAGACAGGUCUGUGAGUAUGAAUGAUUCAGUGAGACACAAAUCAGACAGAAGUGCUAAUAAACUGUUACUGUUACCACAGCAUUCACUACUGUUGAUGCACAGGGCAGCCAUGUUGGAUUUUUAGCUUGUGGUACUGCAAGGUUGUCUGAGUUCUGAGCUCGGAAAUCCGAGGUCAGGGACGCGUUUCCAACUUUAACCUCGGAAAGCCGACCUCCGAGAACAAAUGGAACGCACUGUAAUUGGGCAGGUGUGUGGAGGUGUGACAGUUGGUGUGUGUACCACGAAGUGCAACACCACAAAUGCCCUAAAGUGUGUCCCUUGUUUUACUAUUCUUCUCAUCACCAGAAGCAAUAUAAAGACUUUGGAUCCAGCUGACAGUUGACCUCCAAGUGUGUGUGUGUAUUUCAAGUGUGUGGUGGGUUCUAACAAAGAGUGUGAACUGUAAUUUACCCAAUGAGGGAUCAUUAAAAAUGAAUUAUCUUAUUAUCAAAAAUAUAUGUGUUGAACAGAA
Molecule: long non-coding RNA, 736 nt
Organism: Etheostoma spectabile (orangethroat darter)
Lineage: Eukaryota; Metazoa; Chordata; Actinopteri; Perciformes; Percidae
Exons: 3
Source: RefSeq, a predicted model, not a curated record